AGUACCAGUGCUUCAGAGGCAACUUUUGACGAUAGUGGAUUUACAAUUCAAGUGGAUGUCCGACAUUUUAACCCCAAGGAUCUCCUGGUCAAAGUGAUUGGAGAAUUUGUAGAGGUUCAAGGAAAGCAUGAAGAAAAAAAGAUAGCCCGGGGAUGACAACGCGACAGUUUAACCGUCGCUAUCGAAUUCCAAAGGGAGUGGACACCAUGGCUUUGGAAUCGGCAGUUUCCCCAGAUGGUGUCCUUAUUAUAUCUGCACCCAUGCUGCAAACAGAGAUG
Syngnathus acus (greater pipefish) is the source of this 278-nucleotide long non-coding RNA. RefSeq lists it as uncharacterized. The transcript is spliced from 3 exons. The record is from RefSeq and is a predicted model, not a curated record. Lineage: Eukaryota; Metazoa; Chordata; Actinopteri; Syngnathiformes; Syngnathidae.